This 492-nucleotide ribosomal RNA is filed under the name uncultured bacterium. RNAcentral describes it as "partial 16S ribosomal RNA". It matches the Rfam family "Bacterial small subunit ribosomal RNA", at positions 29 to 507 of the family's 1533-position model. The record is from RNAcentral.
AGUGAACGCUGGCGGUAGGCCUAACACAUGCAAGUCGAGCGGCAGCACAGUAAGAGCUUGCUCUUACGGGUGGCGAGUGGCGGACGGGUGAGGAAUACAUCGGAAUCUACUUUUUCGUGGGGGAUAACGUAGGGAAACUUACGCUAAUACCGCAUACGACCUACGGGUGAAAGCAGGGGAUCUUCGGACCUUGCGCGAUUGAAUGAGCCGAUGUCGGAUUAGCUAGUUGGCGGGGUAAAGGCCCACCAAGGCGACGAUCCGUAGCUGGUCUGAGGGGAUGAUCAGCCACACUGGAACUGAGACACGGUCCAGACUCCUACGGGAGGCAGCAGUGGGGAAUAUUGGACAAUGGGCGCAAGCCUGAUCCAGCCAUACCGCGUGGGUGAAGAAGGCCUUCGGGUUGUAAAGCCCUUUUGUUGGGAAAGAAAAGCAGCAGGUUAAUACCCCGCUGUUCUGACGGUACCCAAAGAAUAAGCACCGGCCAACUUCGUG